AUGGCUUGGCUGAGGUGGGACAAACUAAGGCUGCCUAAGAGUAAGGGUGGCAUGGGCUUCAGAGACAUGCGUGCGUUUAACCAAGCUAUGCUAGCAAAGCAUACUUGGAUAUUAUUAGAGUUCCCUGAUAGUCUUUUGCUCGACUAUUAAUUAAAAGCUAGGUACUAUCCUCCCGGCAGUCUAUUGGAUACAGUUUUUACUGGAAAUUCGUCUAUGGUUUGGAAAGGUAUUGUCCAUGGACUAGAGCUGUUGAAGAGGGGAACUAUAUGGAGAAUUGGGGAUGGUAAUUCGGUGACAACAUGGAGAGAUCCAUGGAUCCCUCGACGGUAUGACUUUCGUCCUAUUACCCCUGAGAGGAACUGCCAGUUUAACCGAGUGUUGGAUUUCUUGGGCACCAAUGGAGCCUGGAUUGUGGAUCGGAUCCACGAACACUUUUGGCCGAUGGAUGUUGUAGAAAUGCUGAAAAUUCGUACUUCUCCAAGAAACAUGCAGGACUUCAUUGGCUGGUAUCCCGAGCCUCGUGGUAAUUUUACGGUCAAGUCGGCGUACAAGCUAGCUACUGAUUGUCAUGACGAUAUUCACGCUGCGGGUGCUAGUAGCAGUAGACCGGAUGGCAAUCGGACAAUAUGGAAUUCUAUUUGGAAAUCUCAGGUCCCGCAAAUCCUAUCAAAUUGCCCAGUACACAAUAGGGACAUGGUGAUUAUGAUCAUUUGGCGAAUACGGCAGCUGCGUAAUGAUAUUACUCAUGGAAAGGGUGAGACCCCGGUUCAAGCUACUGUUAUUACUUGGAUAGCUAUUACAAGUCGCUUCAUUUGGCAAGAAAAUUAG
Molecule: ribosomal RNA, 828 nt
Filed under: Triticum aestivum (bread wheat)
Lineage: Eukaryota; Viridiplantae; Streptophyta; Magnoliopsida; Poales; Poaceae
Description: partial small subunit ribosomal RNA
Source: RNAcentral